CGCGGUGGUCUGUGCAGAUGGAGCUCCCGGGAAAGCAGUGUGGGUGUGUGGAGAUGAGGGUUUUCGGGGCGCGGUGGUCGGUGCAGAUGGUGGUCCCCAGAGUGCAGUGGGGGUCUGUGGAGAUAAAGGUCCCCGGCCUGCGCUGGGGGUGCGGGCCCUUCUCAGCCUAAGCACUACUGACCCUCGGGGCCGGAUCAUGCAUCUUCGUGGGGCUGCCCUGGGCGGCUGCAGCGCAUUCAUUAGCGGCUCUGGUCUGUGUCCACUAGAUGGCAGUAGGUGCCCACUAAUGGUGAGAAUCCGGACGUCCGCACGCGUCCUGUCCACCGGGGAACUGAAUCACCCCUCACUGAGUGCCCCGGCUAGACAGGGCUGGAGAGAAACCAACAGAUCUGACUGACGGAUGGAUGGAUGCAUACGUAGAUAAUGAGAGAUAACAGAUUAAAUAGGUAAGAGCCAUGUCUGGUCAGGGUCUCUGCCCUACCGCCGUCUGGGGCUGGACGAGUCUCUAUGGGGGGUGUCCUGUGCACUGUGGGGUGUGGAGCAGCUCUGUUCUCCCCCUACCACAUGCCAGGGGCAGCCCCUGCCCCCAGUGCUGAGAAGCAAGAUGACCCCUGACUAAUUCAUACCACGUAUAUUUAAACUAAUACAUAUCUUUGUGUUCAUGUGACUGUAUAUAAGAACCCGGGUCUCUUGCCUUGCAGGCAGAUUCUUUACCACUGCACCCCCAG
Molecule: long non-coding RNA, 728 nt
Filed under: Bos mutus (wild yak)
Lineage: Eukaryota; Metazoa; Chordata; Mammalia; Artiodactyla; Bovidae
Description: lncRNA (ENSBMUG00000022257.1)
Source: RNAcentral